AUAUAUAGAGAGAGAGAGAGAGAGAGAGAGAGAGAGAACUAGGCUAGAAUACUAUCAAUAGCACCAAUGACUUGAUACUAUUAAGUUUUUCGUUAUUGGAUUAAAAUAUGUGCGGUUAGGAUGAUGUGGGCCCCCUAGGGUUGAGUAGGUGAUUGGUUGAAUAGUAUAAUCAAACAGAUGAAAAUGAUAAAAGAGGUAAAUCUAAUGGUAGAAAAUUUGAUAACACCAAAUAGUUCGUGCUAUCGAUAGUAUUCCAGUCGGACUCUAUAUAUAGAACUAGGUUAGAAUACUAUCAAUAGCACCAAACUAUUGAUGCUAUUAGGUUUUCAACGCUUGGAUGAAAAAAUGUACGGUUACAAUGAUGUGGGUCCUCUAAGGUUGAGUGAGUUAUUGGUUGAGUAGUAUAAUUUAACGGAUAAACAUAGUCAAAGAAUUAAAUCUAACGGCAGAAAACUCGAUAAUACCAAGCACUUGGUGGUAUCGAUAGUAUCCCAGCCAGACUCUAUAUAUAACUCGGCUGGGAUACUAUAGUCCGGCUGGGAUACUAUCGGUAGCACCAAGUGCUUGGUGCUACCGAUAGUAUCCUAGCCGGACUCUAUAUAUAGAACUAUGCUAGAAUACUAUCAAUAGCACCAAGCUAUUGAUGCUAUUAGGUUUUCGGCCCUUGGAUGGAAAAAUAUACGGUUACGAUGAUGUGAGCCCUCUAUGGUUGUGUGAGUUUUUGAUUGAAUAGUAUAAGCUAACGGAUAAAAAUAGCCAAAAGGUUAAAUCUAACGGCAGAAAACUCGGUAGCACCAAGCACUUGGUACUAUCGAUAAUAUUCCAGCCGGUUGCGUGAGUUUUUGAUCGUACUCAUAAGUAGUUUUCGAUGAUAGAGCUUCCUAAUUGACGAUCCACACCGUUAAACGUUAUAUAGAGCAUUUAAAACGUCUAGAAAUCAAAUUUUAUUAUUUUUUGAUAUCAUUUACCUUGCGAUCAAAAGGUCACAAAAUUGACAAUUUUUAACGGUCGGUAUGGGAUACUUUCUAGUUUAACGGUGUAAAAGAAUUGGAAUAUGUUGAAUUUUUGAUAGAAAAUUCUAUUCAAUAUACCUAGAUAAAGAUCAAUAACUCCGAUCUUAAAUUGAAGGAUCCGAUCAUCCAUUUUUAGGAUGUCGUUCGAUUUUGACCGUUCACUUUAUGCCCGUUUGAUGGACUUUAUUAUGAUCUCGAAAAAUUACGAAAUUUAUUUUUUAGAAAUUUCAAAUACUCUAGAUCAUAUUUAACGGAGUUGAUCGUCGAUUCAGAAGUCCUAUCAUCGAAAACAAC
RNAcentral lists this long non-coding RNA (1307 nucleotides) under Ananas comosus (pineapple). RNAcentral's name for it is "long non-coding RNA (ACOM_LNC005007)". Lineage: Eukaryota; Viridiplantae; Streptophyta; Magnoliopsida; Poales; Bromeliaceae. The record is from RNAcentral.